GGGAAAACAAAACAAAGCGCAGAUUCCCCUCCAAACAAGCCCUAUGCUUUUUCUUCUCUUCUUCUCUCCCCCACACCCUCCCCCUCUCUCCCAAGAACAUCAUAUACCCCAUUGCUCAAAGAAAAUUAAGCCACUGGCCCCUUGAAGAUUGAGCUGAGAUUUCCGCACACCGGGUGCAAGGGCCGGAGGGGCGAGAGCAUUCCUUUCAGCGGGAAGCCGGCAACGCAUCUCCCCCUCUCUAUCUCCUCUUUCUCUCACCAGAGGCGAGUGAUGAAUCGAGGAGAAUUCCAGAGCUCCCUAGUGCAACAGAUGAUCUGGAGUGGCACUGGGGAUGGUGGUACCAGUAGUAUCAUGAGUAGCUUGAAGCCAUGCCACGAGGAACAAGAGGCGUCUCCCAAGCUGCCCUCCUUGUCUUCUCCCUCCAUGCUUUUCUCCCAGCAGUUUCCUCACAGCCCAUCAGGCCUGGGUCAUAUCAACGGCGGCACCUCUCUUCUAAGCUUGCAUGACGGCAGCACCGGCACCCAGGAGAGCCACAUGCCAGAGUCAUGGAGCCAGAUGAUACUCAGUGGGGGAUUGGUUGGAGAUCAAGAGAGAGGGGGAUACAACGCCACCACGGCUCUCCUGUCAAAGGGACUAGAGAAUUGGGGGGCUCAUCAGGCUGCUGUAAGUGCAUGCAUGGUUGGUACCAAGGAGGACGGCCCCAUGCCUCAGUCCGUCGCCGGAGGCGCUGCUUCUUACAACUUCUAUGGGAGCCAUCUUGCUGGUGACGGACAUGAGAUCCAGGCCAAGUCCCAGCUGAGCCAGAUGCUUCUGGCCUCCUCUCCUAGGUCAUGCGUCACCACAAGCCUGGGCAGCAACAUGCUCGACUUCUCAAACAGCGUGGCGCCGCCCCCUCCGGAGCUGAGGUGCCACCACCACUCCGACAACUCAUCCGAGUGCAACAGCACCGCCACAGGUUCAGCUCUCAAGAAGGCUAGGGUUCAGGCCUCGUCCUCAGCACAAUCUACUCUAAAGGUGAGGAAGGAGAGGCUAGGGGACAGAAUAACUGCACUUCACCAAAUAGUUUCCCCAUUUGGCAAGACUGACACGGCGUCUGUACUGCAAGAGACCAUUGGCUAUGUCAGAUUCCUCCUGGGUCAAAUUGAGGCUCUAAGCUACCCAUACAUGGGCCACGGCAGCAACGGGUCAUCCAUUCAAAAUGGACCAACUGGAGAAAGCAACCCUGGCCUCUUCCCAGAGUACCCCGGACAGUUGCUAAACCAUAAUAACAACAAAUUUUGGGCAGUUGCUAAACCAUAAUAACAACACUGGAGGAGUACAGCAGCAGGCUCCAGGCCAACCAGAGCAGCAGGGUGCUGUGAAUGAAGAGGCGAGCAAGAAGGACCUGAGGAGCCGGGGCUUGUGCCUCGUCCCAGUCUCGUGCACGUCCCACUUUGGCGGAGACAACGCUGCUGACUACUGGGCCCCGGCGCCGCUUGGCGGGAUGAUCCUCCAGUAGAAGAGACGACUGGUCUUGCAGCAAGUAUAUGUGUUGUGCAUGGGGUGGUGCAGGAGUACGUAACAGCGCGCGUAAGUACGUACAUACCAUCAUGAGCAGUCACUCUACUAAGGCUGAUUGCUCUUGAUGCUAUGCUAUGCGAGUGUAGUGUAAUCAUAUCAUGGGGGUGAAAGCGAUUAAGCCUUCUGUAUCUGCAUUGUUCUCUGCGAAGAGGCUUUUCAUGAAGGAAGCUGUGCAUGGCCGGUCUAUUUCUUCUCUAGCUGGUCGUCCUCCUUCAGUCCUUGCAAAAUUUAUGGGUUUGUUGUAUAUGUAAAUCUAGCAAGUUAUAUAGUGAACUUUAAUUAUUAUUUUUC
This is an RNA transcript of Triticum aestivum (bread wheat), 1851 nucleotides long. It is a transcript of the gene named transcription factor bHLH68, with no coding region annotated. NCBI's taxonomy places the organism in Eukaryota, Viridiplantae, Streptophyta, Magnoliopsida, Poales, Poaceae. The transcript has 9 exons. The record is from RefSeq and is a predicted model, not a curated record.